RNAcentral lists this transfer RNA (76 nucleotides) under bacterium. RNAcentral describes it as "tRNA-Phe". It matches the Rfam family "tRNA". From Rfam's summary of the family: Transfer RNA (tRNA) molecules are approximately 80 nucleotides in length. Their secondary structure includes four short double-helical elements and three loops (D, anti-codon, and T loops). Further hydrogen bonds mediate the characteristic L-shaped molecular structure. tRNAs have two regions of fundamental functional importance: the anti-codon, which is responsible for specific mRNA codon recognition, and the 3' end, to which the tRNAs corresponding amino acid is attached (by aminoacyl-tRNA synthetases). tRNAs cope with the degeneracy of the genetic code in two manners: having more than one tRNA (with a specific anti-codon) for a particular amino acid; and 'wobble' base-pairing, i.e. permitting non-standard base-pairing at the 3rd anti-codon position. RNAcentral also lists the same sequence under 1 other name. The record is from RNAcentral.
GCCGAGGUAGCUCAGUUGGUAGAGCAUACGCCUGAAGAGCGUGGGGUCACCAGUUCAACCCUGGUCCUCGGCACCA